AACUUUCCUUCGGGAAAGAUAUAAAGUGGCGCACGGGUGAGUAACACGUAAGUAAUCUACCUUUGAGUGGGGAAUACCAUCGGGAAACCGAUGCUAAUACCGCAUAAUGCAGCGGCACCGCAAGGUGACAGUUGUUAAAGGAGCAAUCCGCUUAAAGAGGAGCUUGCGGUAGAUUAGCUAGUUGGUAAGGUAAUGGCUUACCAAGGCUACGAUCUAUAUCCGGUCUAAGAGGACGGUCGGACACACUGACGCUGAAUAACGGGUCAGACUCCUACGGGAGGCAGCAGUCGGGAAUUUUGGGCAAUGGGCGAAAGCCUGACCCAGCAACGCCGCGUGAAGGAUGAAGUAUUUCGGUAUGUAAACUUCGAAAGAAUAGGAAGAAUAAAUGGCGGUACUAUUUAUAAGGUCCGGCUAACUACGUGCCAGCAGCCGCGGUAAUACGUAGGGACCAAGCGUUGUUCGGAUUUACUGGGCGUAAAGGGCGCGUAGGCGGCGUGGUAAGUCACUUGUGAAAUCUCUGAGCUUAACUCAGAACGGCCAAGUGAUACUGCUGUGCUAGAGUGCAGAAGGGGCAAUCGGAAUUCUUGGUGUAGCGGUGAAAUGCGUAGAUAUCAAGAGGAACACCUGAGGUGAAGACGGGUUGCUGGGCUGACACUGACGCUGAGGCGCGAAAGCCAGGGGAGCAAACGGGAUUAGAUACCCCGGUAGUCCUGGCCCUAAACGAUGAAUACUUGGUGUCUGGAGUCAUUAUUGCUCCGGGUGCCGUCGCUAACGUUUUUAGUAUUCCGCCUGGGGAGUACGCACGCAAGUGUGAAACUCAAAGGAAUUGACGGGGACCCGCACAAGCGGUGGAGCAUGUGGUUUAAUUCGACGCAACGCGAAGAACCUUACCUGGACUAGAAUGUGAGGGAAGGGCUUCUAACAGAGUCCGUCUGGGAAACCAGACCCAAAACAAGGUGCUGCAUGGCUGUCG
This 973-nucleotide ribosomal RNA is filed under the name uncultured bacterium. RNAcentral's name for it is "bacterial SSU rRNA". It matches the Rfam family "Bacterial small subunit ribosomal RNA", at positions 71 to 1054 of the family's 1533-position model. The record is from RNAcentral.